RNAcentral lists this ribosomal RNA (565 nucleotides) under uncultured bacterium. RNAcentral describes it as "bacterial SSU rRNA". It matches the Rfam family "Bacterial small subunit ribosomal RNA", at positions 338 to 916 of the family's 1533-position model. The record is from RNAcentral.
CCUACGGGAGGCAGCAGUGGGGAAUUUUCCGCAAUGGGCGAAAGCCUGACGGAGCAACGCCGCGUGAGGGAUGAAGGCCUCUGGGCUGUAAACCUCUUUUAUCAAGGAAGAAGAUCUGACGGUACUUGAUGAAUAAGCCACGGCUAAUUCCGUGCCAGCAGCCGCGGUAAUACGGGAGUGGCAAGCGUUAUCCGGAAUUAUUGGGCGUAAAGCGUCCGCAGGCGGUCUUGUAAGUCUGUCGUUAAAGCGUGGAGCUCAACUCCAUUUCGGCGGUGGAAACUACAAGACUAGAGUGUGGUAGGGGCAGAGGGAAUUCCCGGUGUAGCGGUGAAAUGCGUAGAUAUCGGGAAGAACACCAGUGGCGAAGGCGCUCUGCUGGGCCAUAACUGACGCUCAUGGACGAAAGCUAGGGGAGCGAAAGGGAUUAGAUACCCCUGUAGUCCUAGCCGUAAACGAUGAACACUAGGUGUCGGGGGAAUCGACCCCCGUCGGUGUCGUAGCUAACGCGUUAAGUGUUCCGCCUGGGGAGUACGCACGCAAGUGUGAAACUCAAAUGAAUUGACGG